CCAGACUAGUGAAUGUAAUGAAAUGAAACCACAGAAAAGUUAUGGUUACCCAGGCCCUGGGGAGAAGAGACCCUGAGAUGAGAGGUGGAACUAUACUCCUUGCCUCCAGUGUCCCCAGUUGCAUGUGACAAUGGUAGAAUGGAGGAAGAAGGGAAGUGAAGGCACAGAAUCAUGGAUGGAAUGACAAGUCAGAAGAUUCAUGAGCUGUCAAAAUGGAAAGACUUUGCAAGAAUCAUAGAAAACAGCAGCUACAGAUCUGUUAUUAAAUUCAUAAUAAUGAGAAACAUGUGGAUUGAUUCCCAUAAGUACUGAAGUUCCACAAUUCGGGGCAAGGAGGUGAAGAUGGACAUCUGGGACCUUGUUGCUGACUUCGUCACUUUUUGGAAACUAGGACAGGUUGCCAAGAGAAUCAAAACAUGUCAAUUUAUCUCUCAAUAGAAUUUUAUUACAGAUACUGAAUUGUGUUAAUUAUGUGUUAUAAGUGUUGUCUUGCAGGUUAGCCAGAGAUUUAUAUGUUAAGUUUAAAUUUUCACUUUUCUGUUUGUCUCCUUUAGUUGGUGUGUAAUUGUUUAAUGAGCUGCUUCAAUGAUGUCUGUCUUGGGUGUAGUUGUUCCCAACUAGUACUAUUUCCAGAUUUUAGAAGGCUUAAGAAAUCAGAACCCCUUUUCCCUCCUUAGUUAAAAAUGACAGAGUGAUAGAAUGAGUAAGAAGAAAAAGAGAGCGGAGAGUGCAGCAAAUUUAGUUGGAUAGAACUUAAAGUUUUGACUGAUAAAAACUGAGAUUAAAAGAAAAAUCUUUGAUGUAAUGUUACAGUGACUUUCUCAAGUCUCUGAACAUGCAGACUGAGUUCACCUUCUACAGCAGGUAGCACCAAGUGUCUGGAGCUUCCCCUUGUACCACUCAGGGCACUAGGAGUACACAGCCAACUGUGGGUAUCCACUUGUCAAGACAGGAGCAGAAGUCAUCAAACUGUGCACAUCCAGUUCCCGCGCCAAAGCUUACUGCUUUGGUCACCCACAAGAUCUAAAGAUGGGACAAUGGAUUAGGGAUGUCCAGAGGAACCCCUCUUUGUCAUAGCCAGAGAUGUAGAGAAGAGAUAAUCUGAAAGUCCAGUUCAAUUAUUUUUCUUAUGUGUGCUCCAUCUGAUAAAAGAACUGUUCCUAACCAAAGGAACUACAUUCAUUAAGUAAUAAAUAUCCAAUUUUAAUUAAUCAAGGCACAUAAAACUAACAGCCAAUUAGACAAAAUGAGAAAAAAACUAACCCAUGCUCUCACAAAUGAGUUGAUAUUAUUUCAAGCAAAAGUAAAGAAAUUUCACAUUUUAUUUAACUUCUGGUAAUAUAUUUUUGAAAUUUUUCAUCUGUGAUAACUAAUUAAUACUUUGGUGACCCCCCCCCCUGCCCCAGAGACCAGGGUGUUAUGGACUGGGAAUCACCAUCCCCUUCUUAAUCCUUGGAGACCUAAAUCACUCUUUAGAAGUCAUUUUCCUUUUUACUCAGGCAAUUAAUGACAUUAAAUGUUAAUGUGAAAUAGCAAACCUUCCAAUUCUGCAAUUUUCAUGAUGAAGUUACAGUCAUGGUUAAUCAGUAGUAAUCAAAUUUACCAAGUGCUGAGUUGUUUCAAAAUGAUUCAAUAAUUAAUAGCAAGAAUCAAAAAUAAAGUCAACUAUGCAGGAAUAAAGCAGUGGGUUCCAGUGAGGGAGGAGAGAAAAUGGGGAGGUGUAGUCAAAGACACAAAGUAGCAGAUACAUAGGAUGAACAUGUCUAACAAACAGCAUGAGGACUGAAGUUAACAAAAAUAAAUUGUAUUUGGGAUUUUUGUUAAAUUGAUAUGUUUGAUUACAUUUGCUACCAAAAAAGAGGGUAACUGUUAGGAGAUGAUGAUAUAUUAAUUUACUUCAUUAUAGUAAACAUUUUAUUCUCUUUGUGUAUUCCAUUGCAUUAUGCUGUAUGCUCCAAAUAUACACAAUAGAAUUUGUUUUCAAAAUAGCAAUGCUUUUAAAGAAGAAUAAAAUUAUGGCAUUUUUUGGUAAAUGGAUGGAGUUGGAGAAUAUCAUGCUAAAUGAAAAAAGUCAAUCCCAAAAAACCAAAGGUCUAAUAUUUUCUCUGAUAAGUGGAUGAUGAUACCCAACAAGGGUAUGGCGGGGUGGGUAGGUAAGAGAAGAAUGGAGGAUCUUUGGAUUG
Long non-coding RNA from Sciurus carolinensis (gray squirrel), 2183 nucleotides. RefSeq lists it as uncharacterized. The record is from RefSeq and is a predicted model, not a curated record. The transcript has 3 exons. NCBI's taxonomy places the organism in Eukaryota, Metazoa, Chordata, Mammalia, Rodentia, Sciuridae.